GGGUUGUGAGGUUAAGCGACUAAGCGUACACGGUGGAUGCCCUGGCAGUCAGAGGCGAUGAAGGACGUGCUAAUCUGCGAUAAGCGUCGGUAAGGUGAUAUGAACCGUUAUAACCGGCGAUUUCCGAAUGGGGAAACCCAGUGUGUUUCGACACACUAUCAUUAACUGAAUCCAUAGGUUAAUGAGGCGAACCGGGGGAACUGAAACAUCUAAGUACCCCGAGGAAAAGAAAUCAACCGAGAUUCCCCCAGUAGCGGCGAGCGAACGGGGAGGAGCCCAGAGCCUGAAUCAGUGUGUGUGUUAGUGGAAGCGUCUGGAAAGGCGCGCGAUACAGGGUGACAGCCCCGUACACAAAAAUGCACAUGCUGUGAGCUCGAUGAGUAGGGCGGGACACGUGGUAUCCUGUCUGAAUAUGGGGGGACCAUCCUCCAAGGCUAAAUACUCCUGACUGACCGAUAGUGAACCAGUACCGUGAGGGAAAGGCGAAAAGAACCCCGGCGAGGGGAGUGAAAAAGAACCUGAAACCGUGUACGUACAAGCAGUGGGAGCAUGCUUAGGCGUGUGACUGCGUACCUUUUGUAUAAUGGGUCAGCGACUUAUAUUCUGUAGCAAGGUUAACCGAAUAGGGGAGCCGAAGGGAAACCGAGUCUUAACUGGGCGUUAAGUUGCAGGGUAUAGACCCGAAACCCGGUGAUCUAGCCAUGGGCAGGUUGAAGGUUGGGUAACACUAACUGGAGGACCGAACCGACUAAUGUUGAAAAAUUAGCGGAUGACUUGUGGCUGGGGGUGAAAGGCCAAUCAAACCGGGAGAUAGCUGGUUCUCCCCGAAAGCUAUUUAGGUAGCGCCUCGUGAACUCAUCUCCGGGGGUAGAGCACUGUUUCGGCAAGGGGGUCAUCCCGACUUACCAACCCGAUGCAAACUGCGAAUACCGGAGAAUGUUAUCACGGGAGACACACGGCGGGUGCUAACGUCCGUCGUGAAGAGGGAAACAACCCAGACCGCCAGCUAAGGUCCCAAAGUCAUGGUUAAGUGGGAAACGAUGUGGGAAGGCCCAGACAGCCAGGAUGUUGGCUUAGAAGCAGCCAUCAUUUAAAGAAAGCGUAAUAGCUCACUGGUCGAGUCGGCCUGCGCGGAAGAUGUAACGGGGCUAAACCAUGCACCGAAGCUGCGGCAGCGACGCUUAUGCGUUGUUGGGUAGGGGAGCGUUCUGUAAGCCUGUGAAGGUGUACUGUGAGGUAUGCUGGAGGUAUCAGAAGUGCGAAUGCUGACAUAAGUAACGAUAAAGCGGGUGAAAAGCCCGCUCGCCGGAAGACCAAGGGUUCCUGUCCAACGUUAAUCGGGGCAGGGUGAGUCGACCCCUAAGGCGAGGCCGAAAGGCGUAGUCGAUGGGAAACAGGUUAAUAUUCCUGUACUUGGUGUUACUGCGAAGGGGGGACGGAGAAGGCUAUGUUGGCCGGGCGACGGUUGUCCCGGUUUAAGCGUGUAGGCUGGUUUUCCAGGCAAAUCCGGAAAAUCAAGGCUGAGGCGUGAUGACGAGGCACUACGGUGCUGAAGCAACAAAUGCCCUGCUUCCAGGAAAAGCCUCUAAGCAUCAGGUAACAUCAAAUCGUACCCCAAACCGACACAGGUGGUCAGGUAGAGAAUACCAAGGCGCUUGAGAGAACUCGGGUGAAGGAACUAGGCAAAAUGGUGCCGUAACUUCGGGAGAAGGCACGCUGAUAUGUAGGUGAAGCGACUUGCUCGUGGAGCUGAAAUCAGUCGAAGAUACCAGCUGGCUGCAACUGUUUAUUAAAAACACAGCACUGUGCAAACACGAAAGUGGACGUAUACGGUGUGACGCCUGCCCGGUGCCGGAAGGUUAAUUGAUGGGGUUAGCGCAAGCGAAGCUCUUGAUCGAAGCCCCGGUAAACGGCGGCCGUAACUAUAACGGUCCUAAGGUAGCGAAAUUCCUUGUCGGGUAAGUUCCGACCUGCACGAAUGGCGUAAUGAUGGCCAGGCUGUCUCCACCCGAGACUCAGUGAAAUUGAACUCGCUGUGAAGAUGCAGUGUACCCGCGGCAAGACGGAAAGACCCCGUGAACCUUUACUAUAGCUUGACACUGAACAUUGAGCCUUGAUGUGUAGGAUAGGUGGGAGGCUU
Molecule: ribosomal RNA, 2140 nt
Filed under: Escherichia coli
Lineage: Bacteria; Pseudomonadati; Pseudomonadota; Gammaproteobacteria; Enterobacterales; Enterobacteriaceae
Description: partial 23S ribosomal RNA
Rfam family: Bacterial large subunit ribosomal RNA
Source: RNAcentral